This 576-nucleotide long non-coding RNA is filed under the name Mytilus galloprovincialis (Mediterranean mussel). The record is from RNAcentral. Lineage: Eukaryota; Metazoa; Mollusca; Bivalvia; Mytilida; Mytilidae.
AGUGAAAGGUGUUAUCCAAAACAAGUUUUCCUUUUUGUUUUAUUCUAUCAUUUCAUGAUACAAUGAAUGCCAUUUUCUUGGUACAUAUCGCUUUUAGAUUGAUUAACGGGUUACUGCGUCCAGCGGCAGAUAUUUCAAGCAUUUUCAUAACGAAAAUAGAAAGCAAUACAUCUAGAAAGUUGGCUCUGCAAAGUAGUUUAAACGGAAUGAAGGAUGAAGAUUGUUAACUGUCAGAAAUAAUUUCGGCCCUCAAAGAUUUGUUCCAAGGAUUUUUGCGCACACGAAAAAUCAUCAUACAUUAUUGUCGCGAACAUGCAGUCGUGUCUGUGUAUUCAAACACCCAUCCAUGUGAGGAAGGUCCUUUAAACUAGUACGAAUGUAUAUAUCCCUGGUAAUCUUGAGGUUUUCAUUUUUAAACCAUAUACAAUUUUGAAACUGGUUUAAAGUGAAUAAGCAUCUGUAUCUAUCAACGGGGCAUUGGCUGUCAAACUUAUGUUUACCAAUUUGACUCAAAUUCUCAUAUUUGGUCGAUAAUAUAUACUAUAAAAAACGUAAAUCCAAAUUAUAAAAAGUUAU